Molecule: long non-coding RNA, 3272 nt
Organism: Nycticebus coucang (slow loris)
Lineage: Eukaryota; Metazoa; Chordata; Mammalia; Primates; Lorisidae
Exons: 4
Source: RefSeq, a predicted model, not a curated record
GGUGCUUCACGUGGCAGAUGCCACAUUUGGAGGUCCAGAGAGGUGAUGUGAGGCACUGGCGCAGGUGAAGCCUGAGCAGAACCCCAAAGUUGGAACUUGGGCUUAUUUAUGCGCUAUCACUUUAUGCAUCACCUAUUUUGAUGCUCUGUUGUUGGGUGCACACACAACAAGGAUUAUCCUGUAUUCUUGGAGUAAAGACCCUAUGAUCACUUGGACUAAUGAGGGACAUAAAAGGCAGCCACUGGUGCAGCCAGCCGAGGCCUGAAGCACCAGCGGAGAGAAGGGCUCAUCAGCAGAAUGUCCAGUCAUUGGAACCGAGAUGAGGGAUGGUUGCCAUUCCUCUGGACUGUGGACUCCAAGAAUACAUCCUCGCUUUGACCCCUAGGACGUCUGUUUGGCCCAGAAGCACCCUUUUGCCUCCAGCUGGCUGGAGGAACACACCUCGCUCAGGCAUCUUAGAAGAACCUUUACAUAUCAAUGUGAUAAAAAAGAGAAAACAUCAGAUGAAAGUUCAAGUGUUAUACUAUUCAGACAAUAUAGAAGGACAAGUGGCCCCUAACACACUAUGGAGACCACAGCCAGGUCACUCUCUGACUCCCUAAACAGUCUGGUUCACACAACAUUGUUACCCUACUGUGGAUAAAGAACACAGUCCAGCAAGACCCAAGUCCCCAUUGUUCCUGGUGAAGAUGUUAACCAGGUGACAUCAGGGUAGUGAGGCCACCCAAGGGUGUGUACAUCACGACCCUGCACACAGCCCAGAGACUCCUGUGUGGCUCUUGUGGUGACCUUGGUCAUUCCUUCCAGGACCAUUUCCACUGAAUGCUUCUCAUUAACUCCAAGGUGUACAGGGAGGACACAAAACAGCAAAAUACUCAGCACUCAGCUUUCUGGAUUGACUUUUAUUUGUAUUGAUUUGGAAGAAACUGGAGUGGGAUGACUAAGAACCUUCUUGCCGGCCCCCCCACAACCAUGGAAGAAAAAGGAGAGAAGGGCAAAACAAGGAGAGGGGAAAACUGCCCAGGAGUCACAGACCAGCCACAAUGGUUUUCCCAUGAUCACAGGUAGGAAGCCAGGCCAUGCUUCUGCUCACUCCACUCAGGAUACUUGUCUGGCCCCUGACCCAGCUGGGAGUCCUUGCCUGGCUGACCUCCCACACCGUGUUUCCGGAUCCUGGGAGCUCAGAGCCUUCUUGCCCUCCAAAGAGACAUUUGAAGUGGGCUCUCAAGUAUUUUGAAAUGUGCCCUACAUUUUCCUAAACCUGGUCACCCUGCUGUGCAACACAGGCUGUCAACACAGGCCAAUAGAAUCUAAAUGUCCACUGUUCCUUCUGAAAAGGUUAACCAAGUGACAUCAGUGUGGGGAGGCUACGCAUGGAAUGUACAUUUCUGGCCUGCACACAGCCCAGAGACGCCGGUGUUGCUGUGAGCUUGGCAGUUCCCUCAAGGCCCCUUUCCACUGGGGUGUCUGGACUUCUGAAACUUGGUUCCCUAUGACAACCCCCCACUCCCAAUCCCUGCCUAUGUCGUCCACCAUCCGUGUCAAAAUGAGGUCAGCUCUUCAGAGGUGACAUAUCAGUGACAGCAUGCUGCAUCUGCCUGCAGGGAUGGGGGUGGUAGUUUUAUGUCUUCAUUCCACACGCACCUGAACUUCACCUUGCGCCCCACCCAUGUACACACAGAGAAAGAUACAAUGUCUAUGUCAGUUUAUUGAAAAUCCGCUAAAACGUAAGACAGGAAAGGAGAAAGCUUGGCCGCCACACCCUGGCUCGUCUGGGCCUCAGGUCUCCAGAUGGUCACAGAGACCACCUUGUUGCGGGGGAUCUUCUGGCACCCUCAGCCUGCCUUCCUAUGCUCUGCCUCUGUAUCUUUCUCUGUGUGUACAUGGGUGGGGCGCAAUGAUUCUUUAUUGAAUCUCCAAUAAGAAAAGGAGGAAGCAUGGCUUGGACACGCCACAUUCGCCUCCUGGUCUCAGCCUCAAGUCUCCAGGCUGGUCACAGGCACCACCUUGUUCCGGCAGCGGAUAUUUUGGGCCAGCAGGAUGCAGAACAUUUUGCGAAAGAAAUUGGCAAUCCUCGCUCACCUCCACUGGCCCUGGCCCGUUUCAUUGGGUUCGUCCUCCACUACCUGCCCAUCUGGAAGGGAGUGGUCUUGUCUGGAACUUCCCUCAGCUCCCCUGUCUCCUGCUGGGCCUCCCCUAAGGCAGCUGGUACUAGGGGGAGAGGACACAGGCCCAGGCCGGGGGGCACAACUGGGACUGGGAAUCAGUGAAGGGGACGUCUCUGGUGGGGUGACCCCUCCGGUGGGGUGGCAACCUCAAGUGGGGUGGCAGCCUCCAGUGGGGUGUCUGUCUCUGGCAGAGUGGCAACUUCCAGUGGGGAGGCAGCCUUGAAUGAGGUGGCUGCCUUUGGUGGGAUGUCUGUCGCUGCUGUGCGUAGCCACAUCCUGUCUUGCCCAGACUGGAUCCAGGGGUCUUCCAACAUCUGCCGGAUGGUGGGCCUCUUUUUGGGGUUAGUGGUGAGGAUCUUUUGGAUAAAGGCUUUUAAUUUGGGGGUAACGUUUUAUUUCACCUUAAACGUGAAAACACUGAAGCUCAGCGAGGCUGCCCUGGCAGGACACAGACCGCCCCGCUGACUCCUCCUGCCCGGCCCAGGGCCCCACCACCUGCUCAGUUGGAAUGGGGCCAGGCCGGGGGGCACAACUAAGACUAGGAAUCGAUGGAUGGGAUCGAAACUGAAGUUCCAAUAUUGGGGUUCUGCUCUGGCUUCAACUGCGCCAGUGCCUCACAUCACCUCUCUGGACCUCAAAAUGUGGCAUCUACCACAUGAAGCACAGGGAAAAUGCUCUGUGAAUAAACGCAAGCAACACUUAUCCUCCUGAAGAGCAAAAUGUCCACACUGAUUUUCCCCAGGACACUCCCCAGUGGAACCCCUCUCAUGAACCCCUACACCUGUGAAAUGAACUUGGCGGACCCUAAGGGAAGACUGAACAUCCCAUCCCACUGGAAGGUCUGAGAAAUCCAUCCACAGUGGGGGCCUAAGAAAGGUGGCGCCACCAGCCUCCUCUGCCUCCCUCCACUGCCCUAACUCGGUAAACGGAGAAACUGAGGCUGCUAGUGGAAAAGAUGCUCCUCUGAGGUUACAUCUCUGACUGGACCCAGGAGUCCUGCUUUCCAGUUGAGUCUAAAACAGAGGAUAGUAAAAUAUUUCCAGCCCUGCCACACUUUUACCAACUCCAACUCCCACAGCCUCCAGCCCAUCUGACCAUUCUACC